This is a long non-coding RNA of Grus americana (Whooping crane), 4169 nucleotides long. RefSeq lists it as uncharacterized. The record is from RefSeq and is a predicted model, not a curated record. NCBI's taxonomy places the organism in Eukaryota, Metazoa, Chordata, Aves, Gruiformes, Gruidae. The transcript has 4 exons.
GAAAUUGCCUAAUGGAGCUGCAGAUAUGAUGUAUCUUGAGCUUAGUACAACUUCGGUAUUGUCACGUCAAUUCUCAGAAUUAAGCUGGAGAAAUCAGUGAUGACGGGACUGCUGACAGUUUAUUUUAACCUCAUCUAAGAGAUUGCCUGUCUGUCUACCUGACAGGAAAGCAAGGUCUACCUUGUGUACCCAUCAGAAGAAUAUCCACAGUACCCUAACCUGAUAGUUAUGACCAGUCAGCCCCUGAAGCUGUACAUUCCCUGCUGUUCUAUGAUACGUUGUAAGCACAGAUCAUGAUGUUCUACAGAAAUGGUGCUGCAUUCUGGAAAGUGCAUGAAAAUGCACCACGAUUACAUAUGAGUUGCCAGUUUGCUACUAAUUUACCUGAGCAGCAACAUCUCUAUUGUUUUGCUCUGUGAACGCAGAUGUAGAAAUCAUGACAGUCUGCCUUCCAGAAUUUCAAGAAAAAGUUAAUAGUUGGCUAAACUUCUUCCUUGCAGCUUGUCUAUUAGGAGUUUUGAGGGUUUCAUUGAAUAAGCAGCAGCGAGGCAAAUUGCAUUACAAUGUCGUACAUGCAUUCUUUCAUUUAGGGAAGAAAGGCUGAGGAAGGACUAAGACUUAAGAAAGGCUCGCAUGUCCUGACAUUUCCAGUAAAUGCAUCAGUUUUUACAGAAAACUGCUGGCAUCUUACACUAUACACUAUAUGGAAAGAAGAAAAAUAUACAAGUAACAUUAGGAACCAACUUUUUCUACAUAGUAAAAUAUGAAUUAGAGUUAGUACAGGAUAAACACUAAAAUAUGAAUUUUUCACAGAUCUCUAAUUUAAAGUAAGUGUGAAUUUGACAUAAAAUGAUUUAGAAAUUCUCUUCAAGGGAGUAUCCAUAAAUCCAAAUAGAAAGAUUUGAACUUGAGAGAGUGGGAUUCUUAGAACUGUCUACAAUCAUUAUGAUUUUAGAAAAUUUCAUAAUAAUGUCCUUUCCUCAGUGUAUUUUCAGUAAAAGUUAGAUGUCACAGAGGUAGACAAUGUACUUGAAGACUUUUUAAGUUUAAUACUGAAGAAAAAGUAAUUUUGGACAUUAUUUUAUAUGAACAAGUUACCCAUUCACCUCGACUUUAGACAAACCAUGCCUAAUAGCUAGAGUCCCAGCUGAUGUAGUGUGCUGUAAUCCUAACCUGUUUUCCUUCAGCUGAGACCUCAGCUCUGAAACUGUAGUGUUCAAGACAAUUUCUGUUACCACCCCUAUUUUAUUAAAUGCCUGGAGGUUUUAACGCUUUAUUUGCAGACAUUUAAUACAGGUUGAAUCUGAAUGUUAUUUUUUUAACGGAGAGUCAUUGUUUUAAAUGAGUCAUACAUUGAAACUAUCUACCAGGAGUCCAAGUAUUAAUUAAAAAGAAUAUGCCAAAGUCAGUGGCAGAAAAAUACCAUAAUGAUGAACAAUUAUUGAAGGAUAAGAUCCUUUUCUGGCAGAAAAUACAUUCCUUGGAUUUUCUUGUCAAUGCCUAAGAGCUGCCAUAGUUAGCUGUUGGCAAUUUAAUCUCAAAUUGCAGGAGGCUUGCCAGACAGAAUUUUUAAAACUUCAGGAUUCAGAGACUUUGUACUGGAUAUGCAUCUAAAUUAAACCUAUUGGAACCUUUUACCAAAUCUUAACUGUAGAAAAUUCAGGAAAAGGCAAGAUCGUUUAUUUACCCUACAAUUUAGGAUGGUAAAACUAUUAUUUUGAAAUUAAAAUCCUUUAAUGAAUAUUUGUCACCAUUUCCCCUACACACAGACCCCAAAAUAGCUUUAGCAUUCCUUGGCACCAAGCAUCUCCCUUAUUUUAGUAGAUGAUCAUAUUUUCAUGUCAAAACAACUUGAGGAAGAAAGAACAGUACGUCCUAUGAAGUGUGUCAAAUGCAGUUCCAGUCAACAAUUCAAAUUGCAACAACCUUAUAUUAUGCUUCUUAAAACAGGUGCUUCUUUGAGCAAGUUAUUUCCCAUUAGACUAUGGAGGGGGACUUCUCAAUUGUUUUCUACGUAGUUGUGAGCACCAUCAUUGAAUUAAUCUGCCAUAUCUGCCUGAAGGCUUCCUACCAAUGCCUAGAUCCUAAUUCUGGAGUUGUAUAAAUAAGCCAUCAAGUAUUUGAAUUACUAUAGAUAUGCCUUGUUUCUGAAGGAUCAAGUUCUUUUCCCAUUUAAUGGCAAAUCUUGCCUUCAUGGGAUAAAAGCCAUAGUGUCUCUAUCAACAGUGGUAAAGGCCAUUACAGGCUAUUAGGUAGAAAUAGAUGAAGGGUGCAGUUCAAGACCAAACAUUUCCUUUGACUACUUUAUUUUGUAGUUGAAUAUUGUUCAAUAGGCAUCUGAGUGUAUCCUAUUCAGAUCGUUUUACAAUUUAGAGAGCACCCAUUUUGCAAAAGAUUGUAAAUAAUGGGAUCCAUCAUUCAGAUAAUGAUGUAACUUGUCACUUUACCUCAUGGACACCAGCAUUCCCACCUUUCCUUCUGAGGCUUUUGAAAACACUGUUUUGCUCUGAAAAAAUUCCUGUUCUGAAGAGGACACAAAGUUUCAUUGUUUUGUCCUAUGAGAUUAACUCAGUUUACAAACAGUGACCUCAGACUGCUAAGCUCUAGGACAUUGUGGGAAUUAGGUAGUUCUGAUGAACUAAUCAUUAAAGGUAACUUUUACACCUUUCCUAUAUCAUAACUGUCGAUAAGGACUCCGUCAAAAAAUUUUAGAUGACAACAUUCUUGAUGAUGGAUUACCAUUUAGAUAACAUACCUGUUGCUAUCUUGACUUUGGAAGCUCAAUAAAAGUGAAAGGUUCCUUCAUAUGACAGAGUGCAGGACGGAUCUACUGCAGACAGGUAGUCUGACUUUAAGAAGAAGAGGCUUACUUUUCUGUAAGGACCUCAUGGUCUUACCGGGCAGCAAAGUGCACUUGAGGAAACUGUGUGCCCUGACAGCAGCAAUGGCCAACAGCAUCCAGGGCUGUAUUCACAGGAGGGGAAAUAGGAGAGCAACGGAAGUGAAUAACCCCUCUACUCAGUGCGCUUGUCAGACCAUAUCUAGAUCCUGAAUCCAUUUCUGGACCCCCAUCCCCCCCCCCCCCCCCCAAUACAGGAAAGAUGGAUAAACUACAGCUAGUUCAGCAGAGAGCCACCAAGAGCUGAGGGAGCUAGGCUUGUUCAGCCUCGAGAAGGUACAGCUUUUGGGGGACCUAAUAGCAGCCUGCCAGUACCUCCAAGGAAGUCAUUAAGAAAAUGGAGCCAGGCUGUUUGUUCACUGGUGCAUGAGGGCAGGACAAGAAAGCAAGGACAUUAAGUUGAAGCAAGAGAGGUUCAGACUGAAUAUAAGGAGAAAUCAUGAGAGCAGUCAAGCAGUGGAACAGCUUGCCCAGGGAGCUUGAGCUAUCUCCAGCCUUGGAGGUUUUCGAGACGUUGAGUCAACAAAGCCCUGAGUAACCAGUUGCAUUGGGUUUUCAUGGCAAGGUUUUGGUAGCAGGGUGGCUACAGGGGUGGCUUCUGUUAGAAGCUGCUAGAAGCUUCCCCUGUGUCCCAUAGAGCCAAUGCCAGCUGGCUUCAAGACAGACCUGGCGGUGGUAAGGCUGAGCCCAUCAGAGGUGGUAGUGCCUCUGGGAUAACAUAGUUAAGAAGGGGAAAAAAAACCUGCCCCAGAGCAGCAGCUGGAAGAGAGGAGUGAGAAUAUGUGAAAGGAACAACUCUGCAGACACCAAGAUCAGUGAAGAAGAAUGGGGAGGAGGUGCUCCAGGCGCCGGAGCAGAGAUUCCCCUGCAGCCCAUGGAGAAGACCAUGGUGAGGCAGGCUGUCCCCCUGCAGCACGUGGAGGUUGAUGGAGCAGAUAUCCACCUGCAGCCCAUGGAGCACCCCAAGCUGGAGCAGGUGGAGACACCUGAAGGAGGCUGUGACCCCAUGGGAAGCCCGUGCUGGAGCAGGUUUGCUGGCAGGACUUGUGACCUCGUGGGGGACCCAUGCUGGAGCAGUCUGUUCCUGAAAGUCUGCACCCCGUGAGAGGGACUCCAUGCUGGAGCAGUUUGUGAAGAACUGCAGCCCACAGGAAGGACUCGCGUUGGAGAAGUUGAUGGAGGACUGUCUUCUGUGGGAGGGACCCCAUGCUGGAGCAGGGGAAGAGUGUGAGGAGUCCUCCCCCUGAGGAUGAAGAAGCGGCAGAGACAA